RNAcentral lists this transfer RNA (87 nucleotides) under Planctomycetota bacterium. Its description in RNAcentral is "tRNA-Leu". It matches the Rfam family "tRNA". Rfam says of the family: Transfer RNA (tRNA) molecules are approximately 80 nucleotides in length. Their secondary structure includes four short double-helical elements and three loops (D, anti-codon, and T loops). Further hydrogen bonds mediate the characteristic L-shaped molecular structure. tRNAs have two regions of fundamental functional importance: the anti-codon, which is responsible for specific mRNA codon recognition, and the 3' end, to which the tRNAs corresponding amino acid is attached (by aminoacyl-tRNA synthetases). tRNAs cope with the degeneracy of the genetic code in two manners: having more than one tRNA (with a specific anti-codon) for a particular amino acid; and 'wobble' base-pairing, i.e. permitting non-standard base-pairing at the 3rd anti-codon position. The record is from RNAcentral. Lineage: Bacteria; Pseudomonadati; Planctomycetota.
GGGCGAGUGGCGGAAUCGGCAGACGCCUUGGAUUUAAAAUCCAAUGGGCUUUCACGGCCCGUGGGGGUUCAAGUCCCCCCUCGCCCA